RNAcentral lists this ribosomal RNA (497 nucleotides) under uncultured bacterium. Its description in RNAcentral is "partial 16S ribosomal RNA". It matches the Rfam family "Bacterial small subunit ribosomal RNA", at positions 28 to 507 of the family's 1533-position model. The record is from RNAcentral.
GAUGAACGCUGGCGGCGUGCCUAAUACAUGCAAGUCGAGCGAACGGACGAGAAGCUUGCUUCUCUGAUGUUAGCGGCGGACGGGUGAGUAACACGUGGAUAACCUACCUAUAAGACUGGGAUAACUUCGGGAAACCGGAGCUAAUACCGGAUAAUAUUUUGAACCGCAUGGUUCAAAAGUGAAAGACGGUCUUGCUGUCACUUAUAGAUGGAUCCGCGCUGCAUUAGCUAGUUGGUAAGGUAACGGCUUACCAAGGCAACGAUGCAUAGCCGACCUGAGAGGGUGAUCGGCCACACUGGAACUGAGACACGGUCCAGACUCCUACGGGAGGCAGCAGUAGGGAAUCUUCCGCAAUGGGCGAAAGCCUGACGGAGCAACGCCGCGUGAGUGAUGAAGGUCUUCGGAUCGUAAAACUCUGUUAUUAGGGAAGAACAUAUGUGUAAGUAACUGUGCACAGCGUGACGGUACCUAAUCAGAAAGACACGGCUAACUACGUG